UCAGAGCAACCGGAGGCGCCUGUGGCUGCAAGCCAUCAAACGUAUUGAUGAAAACUGGACUGAGGACACGAUCCAAAAUGCUGGCGUUUGCAGUGGCCAUUUUAUAACAGGACACAAAACAGUCAGAUCCCCGAGGCAACGGUGGAAAGGUACCAUAGGAAAAG
Molecule: long non-coding RNA, 164 nt
Organism: Lampris incognitus (smalleye Pacific opah)
Lineage: Eukaryota; Metazoa; Chordata; Actinopteri; Lampriformes; Lampridae
Exons: 3
Source: RefSeq, a predicted model, not a curated record